RNAcentral lists this ribosomal RNA (512 nucleotides) under uncultured bacterium. RNAcentral describes it as "bacterial SSU rRNA". It matches the Rfam family "Bacterial small subunit ribosomal RNA", at positions 268 to 795 of the family's 1533-position model. The record is from RNAcentral.
CCUAGGCGACGAUCAGUAACUGGUCUGAGAGGAUGACCAGUCACACUGGGACUGAGACACGGCCCAGACUCCUACGGGAGGCAGCAGUGGGGAAUUUUCCGCAAUGGGCGAAAGCCUGACGGAGCAAUACCGCGUGAGGGACGAAGGCUUUUGGGUCGUAAACCUCUUUUCCCUGAGAAGAAGAUCUGACGGUAUCAGGGGAAUAAGCAUCGGCUAACUUCGUGCCAGCAGCCGCGGUAAUACGAGGGAUGCAAGCGUUAUCCGGAAUUAUUGGGCGUAAAGCGUCCGCAGGUGGCUCUGUAAGUCUGUCGUUAAAGAAUGGGGCUCAACCCCAUACAGGCGAUGGAAACUACAAGGCUAGAGUUUGGUAGGGGUCACGGGAAUUCUUAGUGUAGCGGUGAAAUGCGUAGAUAUUAAGAAGAACACCAGCGGCGAAAGCGCGUGACUGGGCCAGUACUGACACUCAUGGACGAAAGCUAGGGGAGCGAAAGGGAUUAGAUACCCCUGUAGUC